RNAcentral lists this ribosomal RNA (511 nucleotides) under Saccella caloundra. RNAcentral's name for it is "partial 16S ribosomal RNA". It matches the Rfam family "Bacterial large subunit ribosomal RNA", at positions 1816 to 2600 of the family's 2925-position model. The record is from RNAcentral. RNAcentral also lists the same sequence under 1 other name. Lineage: Eukaryota; Metazoa; Mollusca; Bivalvia; Nuculanida sp.; Nuculanidae.
CGCUCCUCGUCGUUCUUACAUGGGGAGUCGUUUCUGCUCUAUGACGUACGCGUUGAAUAGUAGCGGUAUAAGUGACCGUUUUAAGGUAGCGUAAUUUCUUGCCUGUUAAUUGCUGGCCAGUGAAUGGAUUGACGGAUUAAGAUUGUCUCAAUUGUGUUCUUUAGAAUUUAACUUCCGAGUGAAGAGGCUCGGAUGUUGCAGAGGGACGAGAAGACCCUGUCAAACUUAAAUUAAAGUGAUUAUGUUAAUGUUGGUUAUUAUAAGUUAUGGUGAAAUUUCAGUUGGGGCAACAGGGGAAAAUAGAAAUUCCUUAGAGUUUAUAAUAACAAGUUGGUAUAUAUCCUUACUUAGUAUUAGGAAUGUAGAACAAGUUACUGCAGGGAUAACAGCAUAAUUCCUUUGGCGAGUUCGUAUCAAUAAAGGAGUUUGUGACCUCGAUGUUGAAUUAGGGUUAAUCUUUUAAAUUGUAGCAGUUUAAGUAGUGGGUCUGUUCGCCCUUUAAUACCCUCCA